UGUUCCUUUAAGUUUAGUCCCGUGAGGCUAAGAAGGUCGCGAGUAAGUAGUUGUAUGGUGCGCUGUACAAAGAUUUACUCUUCAGAAGCAUAGCUGCAAGCAUAAGUAUAAGCACAGCUAUAUCCAAUUACUGAAUCCAACCUCUUGUCCUCGAUAGGGCAAGAGGUUUUUUUGU
Non-coding RNA from Enterococcus faecalis 13-SD-W-01, 175 nucleotides. The record is from Rfam. NCBI's taxonomy places the organism in Bacteria, Bacillati, Bacillota, Bacilli, Lactobacillales, Enterococcaceae.